RNAcentral lists this ribosomal RNA (301 nucleotides) under uncultured bacterium. Its description in RNAcentral is "partial 16S ribosomal RNA". It matches the Rfam family "Bacterial small subunit ribosomal RNA", at positions 509 to 807 of the family's 1533-position model. The record is from RNAcentral.
CAGCAGCCGCGGGAAAACGGAGGGUGCAAGCGUUAUCCGGAUUUAUUGGGUUUAAAGGGUCCGUAGGCGGAUCUGUAAGUCAGUGGUGAAAUCUCACAGCUUAACUGUGAAACUGCCAUUGAUACUGCAGGUCUUGAGUAAAUUUGAAGUGGCUGGAAUAAGUAGUGUAGCGGUGAAAUGCAUAGAUAUUACUUAGAACACCAAUUGCGAAGGCAGGUCACUAAGAUUUAACUGACGCUGAUGGACGAAAGCGUGGGGAGCGAACAGGAUUAGAUACCCGCGUAGUCCCUGUCUCUUAUAC